GACGAACCGUACGAACGUUAUUCGGAAUCACUGGGCUUAAAGGGUGCGUAGGCUGCGCAGCAAGUUGGGUGUGAAAUCCCUCGGCUUAACCGAGGAACUGCGCCCAAAACUGCUGUGCUCGAGGGAGAUAGAGGUGAGCGGAACUUAGGGUGGAGCGGUGAAAUGCGUUGAUAUCCUAAGGAACACCGGUGGCGAAAGCGGCUCACUGGAUUUCUUCUGACGCUGAGGCACGAAAGCUAGGGUAGCGAACGGG
Molecule: ribosomal RNA, 253 nt
Filed under: uncultured bacterium
Lineage: Bacteria
Description: partial 16S ribosomal RNA
Rfam family: Bacterial small subunit ribosomal RNA
Source: RNAcentral